CUACCGGUGCAGCGAUGCAUCGGGAUGAUUCUGGAGAAGUCAGCAGAGGUCGUAUUAGGC
This is a non-coding RNA of Desulfococcus multivorans DSM 2059, 60 nucleotides long. The record is from Rfam. NCBI's taxonomy places the organism in Bacteria, Pseudomonadati, Thermodesulfobacteriota, Desulfobacteria, Desulfobacterales, Desulfococcaceae.